RNAcentral lists this long non-coding RNA (729 nucleotides) under Mus musculus (house mouse). RNAcentral describes it as "long non-coding RNA chr16:5085553-5086282". Lineage: Eukaryota; Metazoa; Chordata; Mammalia; Rodentia; Muridae. The record is from RNAcentral.
GUGGCCACCUUUCCACCUUACUGGGAGCAGGACCUUUGUCAGCUCUUUGGUCUGGCCUUUGCUCUGACUCCUUUUGUAUGGAAGAACCAAUUGUUUUCACAUUGGCCAUGUGGACUCCUUAUCCUUUUAUUACAUAUAUUUUUUUGCAACUUGGAUUUCCAGUUUGUUUACAGAAUAGUCUUAGGUAGUAGCAAAAAGAGCCAAAGAAGAGAUUUGUAUAGCUGAGCUCUAAGCCAAGCUGAGGCCGCCAGCAAAGCUGAGCAGUGGGAACUCUCCAGGCUCCUCUGCCCGUCAGACAGCGGGCCCUAGCACCCCACCCCUUUGGUGCUCCCUCCUCCCCAUGUGCCACUGCUUGUGCAGCUAGAGCAGGAUGCCCUCAUCUUUAGGAAUCUAGUGAUGCCUCUUGCCUCAGGGAAAUGUUUCUUUGAUGGGGAGUUUAUGAGAUUUCUUUUCCUUGUUUAUGCUUUAUUUGUGGUAAUGAACGAGUGAAUGACUUUAACAGCCAUGGCCAGGGAGACCUAUGGCCCGGCUUCAGCAGAGGGUGGAGGUAGAGCAAGCUCAGUGGGAUGCAAGGGUUUCUUUGGUGGGUGCAAGGUUCUGAGACUUAACCAGGCGUGGCCGUUUCUUAGGUGUGAGAGGGGCUUUUGUGCCGCAACUAUGUUGGUGUUAGGGGGUGGUGUGGAAAUUGUUAAUCUUGUAUAAAGCAACUCAAUAAAUUGUUUUGAGGUU